GGAGGGGGCCAGCGUUGUUCGGAUUUACUGGGCGUAAAGGGCGCGUAGGCGGCUACGCAAGUCGGACGUGAAAUCCCUCGGCUCAACUGAGGAACUGCGUCCGAAACUGCGUAGCUCGAGUCCCGGAGAGGGUAGCGGAAUUCCCAGUGUAGCGGUGAAAUGCGUAGAUAUUGGGAGGAACACCAGUGGCGAAGGCGGCUACCUGGACGGGUACUGACGCUGAGGCGCGAAAGCUAGGGGAGCAAACAGGAUUAGAUACCCUGGUAGUCCUAGCUGUAAACGAUGAGCACUUGGUGUUGCGGGUAUCGACCCCCUGCAGUGCCGAAGCUAACGCAUUAAGUGCUCCGCCUGGGGAGUACGGUCGCAAGGCUG
This 372-nucleotide ribosomal RNA is filed under the name uncultured organism. RNAcentral describes it as "partial 16S ribosomal RNA". It matches the Rfam family "Bacterial small subunit ribosomal RNA", at positions 527 to 896 of the family's 1533-position model. The record is from RNAcentral.